RNAcentral lists this ribosomal RNA (418 nucleotides) under uncultured microorganism. RNAcentral's name for it is "bacterial SSU rRNA". It matches the Rfam family "Archaeal small subunit ribosomal RNA", at positions 330 to 745 of the family's 1478-position model. The record is from RNAcentral.
GUGCACCAGGCGAGAAAACUUCACACUGUGCGAAAGCACGAUGAGGGAAUCCCAAGUGCUUGCACGUAAGUGUAAGCUGUUUCUCUGUCUAAAACGCAGAGAGAGUAAGGGCUGGGUAAGACGGGUGCCAGCCGCCGCGGGUAAUACCUGCAGCUCAAGUGGUGACCGUUAUUAUUGGGCCUAAAACGUCCGUAGCCGGUUUAAUAAAAUGCCUGGGUAAAUUGUGUAGCUUAACUAUACGAAUUCCGGGUAGACUGUUAAAACUUGAGACCGGGAGAAGUUAGAGGUACUCCUGGGGUAGAGGUGAAAUUCUGUAAUCCUAGGGGGACCACCAGUGGCGAAGGCGUCUAACUAGAACGGGUCUGACGGUGAGGGACGAAGCCCUGGGGCGCAAACGGGGAUUAGAUACCCGUGUAGU